UAGGGAAUCUUCGGCAAUGGGUGGAACCCUGACCGAGCAACGCCGCGUGAGUGAAGAAGGUUUUCGGAUCGUAAAGCUCUGUUGUUAAGGAAGAACGAGUGUGAGAAUGGAAAGUUCAUACUGUGACGGUACUUAACCAGAAAGGGACGGCUAACUACGUGCCAGCAGCCGCGGUAAUACGUAGGUCCCGAGCGUUGUCCGGAUUUAUUGGGCGUAAAGCGAGCGCAGGCGGUUAGAUAAGUCUGAAGUUAAAGGCAGUGGCUCAACCAUUGUAGGCUUUGGAAACUGUUUAACUUGAGUGCAGAAGGGGAGAGUGGAAUUCCAUGUGUAGCGGUGAAAUGCGUAGAUAUAUGGAGGAACACCGGUGGCGAAAGCGGCUCUCUGGUCUGUAACUGACGCUGAGGCUCGAAAGCGUGGGGAGCGAACAGG
RNAcentral lists this ribosomal RNA (429 nucleotides) under Bacteroidota bacterium. RNAcentral's name for it is "Bacteroidetes bacterium partial 16S ribosomal RNA". It matches the Rfam family "Bacterial small subunit ribosomal RNA", at positions 355 to 776 of the family's 1533-position model. The record is from RNAcentral. Lineage: Bacteria; Pseudomonadati; Bacteroidota.